RNAcentral lists this unclassified non-coding RNA (488 nucleotides) under Hevea brasiliensis (rubber tree). The record is from RNAcentral. Lineage: Eukaryota; Viridiplantae; Streptophyta; Magnoliopsida; Malpighiales; Euphorbiaceae.
UCCAAUAAUUUCCUCCCGUUAACGUCUCAAUUCGUAACCCAAUUUCCAACAAUCCUUCAAAAUUAAAUAUACAAAAUUCAUAAGCUGUGAACACAGGCACCCUUUUCAAUCACACUUUUUGGACUUUUUUUUUUUCAAAUUUGAACCCAAAAUUCAAUAACUAAAAAAAAAAUGGCUAUCUAUGAUGGGAAAUAAAAACAAAAAUGUUAUAUACAAAAAUUAGAAUAUUUUCUGGUACGUGUGCGUUCCCCACUUUGGCCUAUUUGGAGGACUCGGUCGUGGACCGCGAAAGGGAAGUGGGUUGCGCCGAACACAGCGCCAAAGCUCUUUCUAAGUUAUUUACUAUCUCGGUCAUCGAUGGCCGAUCUUGGCCUUCGAACGUCACGCAAUCCGCCGCCAAGAAUCCUACAUAGGCCACAGCCCCUAUUUCAUGCGGCGUCGGGGUGGGCACUCUCUUGUCCAAGACUCUGUGUAUUUCAUCUUGUUCA